GACGUAGGGGGCGAGCGUUAUCCGGAAUUAUUGGGCGUAAAGGGCACGCAGGCGGUCGGCCAAGUUCACGCUGACAAUCAUCAGCUUAACUGAUGAAGGCGUGUGAAGACUGGUAGACUUGAGAGCGAGAGAGGGACAUGGAACUCCAGGUGGAGCAGUGAAAUGCGUAGAGAUCUGGAAGAACACCAAUGGUGAAGGCAGUGUCCUGGCUCGUUUCUGACGCUCAGGUGCGAAAGCUAGGGGAG
RNAcentral lists this ribosomal RNA (245 nucleotides) under uncultured bacterium. RNAcentral's name for it is "partial 16S ribosomal RNA". It matches the Rfam family "Bacterial small subunit ribosomal RNA", at positions 524 to 768 of the family's 1533-position model. The record is from RNAcentral.